This 76-nucleotide microRNA precursor is filed under the name Ovis aries (sheep). Its description in RNAcentral is "miRNA (ENSOARG00000024262.1)". Lineage: Eukaryota; Metazoa; Chordata; Mammalia; Artiodactyla; Bovidae. The record is from RNAcentral.
ACAACUCCAAGGAUACCAGGCAGGUUAAGAUCAGAGUGUUGAGGGGACUUCGCUGGUGGUCCUGUGCAGGGUGUGU